RNAcentral lists this ribosomal RNA (253 nucleotides) under uncultured bacterium. RNAcentral's name for it is "partial 16S ribosomal RNA". It matches the Rfam family "Bacterial small subunit ribosomal RNA", at positions 524 to 776 of the family's 1533-position model. The record is from RNAcentral.
UACGUAGGGGGCAAGCGUUGUCCGGAUUUAUUGGGCGUAAAGAGCGUGUAGGCGGCUGGGUAGGUCCGUUGUGAAAACUCGAGGCUCAACCUCGAGACGCCGAUGGAAACCAUCUAGCUAGAGUCCGGAAGAGGAGAGUGGAAUUCCUGGUGUAGCGGUGAAAUGCGCAGAUAUCAGGAAGAACACCAAUGGCGAAGGCAGCUCUCUGGGACGGUACUGACGCUGAGACGCGAAAGCGUGGGGAGCGAACAGG